This 355-nucleotide unclassified non-coding RNA is filed under the name soil metagenome. Its description in RNAcentral is "partial contains 5.8S ribosomal RNA, internal transcribed spacer 2, and large subunit ribosomal RNA". The stretch from base 1 to 120 matches the Rfam family "5.8S ribosomal RNA", at positions 35 to 154 of the family's 154-position model. The record is from RNAcentral.
GAUGAAGAACGUAGCGAAAUGCGAUAAGUAAUGCGAAUUGCAGAAUUCAGUGAAUCAUCGAAUCUUUGAACGCACAUUGCGCCCGCUAGUAUUCUGGCGGGCAUGCCUGUCUGAGCGUCAUUUCAACCCUCGCCCCCGGCUUUUGCUGGGAGCGGUGUUGGGGAUCGGCCGCCCGUCACUGGGAGGCCGGCCCCGAAAUAGAGUGGCGACCACGCCGUGUGCUCCUCUGCGUAGUAGUAAAUCAUCUCGCAGGCGGACAGCGGUGCGGCCUGCCGUAAAACCCCCAACUCUUUCUGGUUGACCUCAGAUCAGGUAGGAAUACCCGCUGAACUUAAGCAUAUCAAUAAGCGGAGGA